CGAUUUGCGGCAGCUACACAUGCAGUCGAGCGGUAGCACAGAGAGCUUGCUCUCGGGUGACGAGCGGCGGACGGGUGAGUAAUGUCUGGGAAACUGCCUGAUGGAGGGGGAUAACUACUGGAAACGGUAGCUAAUACCGCAUAAUGUCGCAAGACCAAAGUGGGGGACCUUCGGGCCUCAUGCCAUCAGAUGUGCCCAGAUGGGAUUAGCUAGUAGGUGGGGUAACGGCUCACCUAGGCGACGAUCCCUAGCUGGUCUGAGAGGAUGACCAGCCACACUGGAACUGAGACACGGUCCAGACUCCUACGGGAGGCAGCAGUGGGGAAUAUUGCACAAUGGGCGCAAGCCUGAUGCAGCCAUGCCGCGUGUGUGAAGAAGGCCUUCGGGUUGUAAAGCACUUUCAGCGGGGAGGAAGGCGUUGAGGUUAAUAACCUUGGCGAUUGACGUUACCCGCAGAAGAAGCACCGGCUAACUCCGUGCCAGCAGCCGCGGUAAUACGGAGGGUGCAAGCGUUAAUCGGAAUUACUGGGCGUAAAGCGCACGCAGGCGGUCUGUCAAGUCGGAUGUGAAAUCCCCGGGCUCAACCUGGGAACUGCAUUCGAAACUGGCAGGCUAGAGUCUUGUAGAGGGGGGUAGAAUUCCAGGUGUAGCGGUGAAAUGCGUAGAGAUCUGGAGGAAUACCGGUGGCGAAGGCGGCCCCCUGGACAAAGACUGACGCUCAGGUGCGAAAGCGUGGGGAGCAAACAGGAUUAGAUACCCUGGUAGUCCACGCCGUAAACGAUGUCGAUUUGGAGGUUGUGCCCUUGAGGCGUGGCUUCCGGAGCUAACGCGUUAAAUCGACCGCCUGGGGAGUACGGCCGCAAGGUUAAAACUCAAAUGAAUUGACGGGGGCCCGCACAAGCGGUGGAGCAUGUGGUUUAAUUCGAUGCAACGCGAAGAACCUUACCUGGUCUUGACAUCCACAGAACUUUCCAGAGAUGGAUUGGUGCCUUCGGGAACUGUGAGACAGGUGCUGCAUGGCUGUCGUCAGCUCGUGUUGUGAAAUGUUGGGUUAAGUCCCGCAACGAGCGCAACCCUUUAUCCUUUGUUGCCAGCGGUCCGGCCGGGAACUCAAAGGAGACUGCCAGUGAUAAACUGGAAGGAAGGGGGGGAUGACGUCAAGUCAUCAUGGCCCUUACGACCAGGGUUACCACCUGGUUAAAUGGCCUUUACAAAAGAAACCGACCUCCCGGAAGCAAGCGGACCUCUAAAAGAUUUCCUAAUCCGGAUGGGAAUUUGCAACCCGACCCUCCUGAAAGGGGAAUCCCGGGAAUUUGGGAAUCAAAGG
RNAcentral lists this ribosomal RNA (1327 nucleotides) under Klebsiella pneumoniae. Its description in RNAcentral is "bacterial SSU rRNA". It matches the Rfam family "Bacterial small subunit ribosomal RNA", at positions 34 to 1355 of the family's 1533-position model. The record is from RNAcentral. Lineage: Bacteria; Pseudomonadati; Pseudomonadota; Gammaproteobacteria; Enterobacterales; Enterobacteriaceae.